Non-coding RNA from Populus trichocarpa (black cottonwood), 156 nucleotides. The record is from Rfam. Lineage: Eukaryota; Viridiplantae; Streptophyta; Magnoliopsida; Malpighiales; Salicaceae.
UCUAGAACUCGAGAUAUAGGUUGAACACUAAACAAUGUCUGGGCUGCAGGACAGAUUCUGACUUCUCCGUUGUUGCUACCAUUUGAACUCGAAAAUGACACUUUUAAAUCUUUGACUCUUCAUAAAAGUUUUAGGCCUAUAUCUUAGCUUUCUAUA